RNAcentral lists this small RNA (67 nucleotides) under Acididesulfobacillus acetoxydans. Its description in RNAcentral is "Peptococcaceae bacterium INE non-coding RNA". The record is from RNAcentral. Lineage: Bacteria; Bacillati; Bacillota; Clostridia; Eubacteriales; Peptococcaceae.
GUUUCAAUUCCUCAUAGGCAGGCUAUCGGCGGAUUAGAUACAGGGAUGUUGUCUUGGGAUUCUAUUG